UACGAAGGGGACUAGCGUUGUUCGGAUUUACUGGGCGUAAAGCGUGCGCAGGCGGUGAUGUAAGACAGUUGUGAAAUCCCCGGGCUCAACCUGGGAACUGCAUCUGUGACUGCAUCGCUGGAGUGCGGCAGAGGGGGAUGGAAUUCCGCGUGUAGCAGUGAAAUGCGUAGAUAUGCGGAGGAACACCGAUGGCGAAGGCAAUCCCCUGGGCCUGCACUGACGCUCAUGCACGAAAGCGUGGGGAGCAAACAGG
This 253-nucleotide ribosomal RNA is filed under the name uncultured bacterium. RNAcentral describes it as "partial 16S ribosomal RNA". It matches the Rfam family "Bacterial small subunit ribosomal RNA", at positions 524 to 776 of the family's 1533-position model. The record is from RNAcentral.